GGGGAAUAUUGGACAAUGGGGGAAACCCUGAUCCAGCAAUGCCGCGUGUGUGAAGAAGGCCUUCGGGUUGUAAAGCACUUUCAGUGGGGAGGAAGGGGUGUUAGUUAAUACCUAACAUCAUUGACGUUACCUACAGAAGAAGCACCGGCUAACUCUGUGCCAGCAGCCGCGGUAAUACAGAGGGUGCAAGCGUUAAUCGGAAUUACUGGGCGUAAAGCGUGUGUAGGUGGUUGAAUAAGUUAGAUGUGAAAUCCCCGGGCUUAACCUGGGCACUGCGUUUAAGACUGUUUAACUAGAGUGCUGUAGAGGAUAGUGGAAUUUCCAGUGUAGCGGUGAAAUGCGUAGAUAUUGGAAGGAACACCAGUGGCGAAGGCGACUAUCUGGACAGACACUGACACUGAGACACGAAAGCGUGGGGAGCAAAC
This 425-nucleotide ribosomal RNA is filed under the name uncultured bacterium. RNAcentral's name for it is "bacterial SSU rRNA". It matches the Rfam family "Bacterial small subunit ribosomal RNA", at positions 356 to 773 of the family's 1533-position model. The record is from RNAcentral.